This 447-nucleotide ribosomal RNA is filed under the name uncultured organism. RNAcentral's name for it is "partial 16S ribosomal RNA". It matches the Rfam family "Bacterial small subunit ribosomal RNA", at positions 334 to 797 of the family's 1533-position model. The record is from RNAcentral.
CACUCCUACGGGAGGCAGCAGUGGGGAAUAUUGGACAAUGGGCGCAAGCCUGAUCCAGCCAUGCCGCGUGAGUGAUGAAGGCCCUAGGGUUGUAAAGCUCUUUCACCGGUGAAGAUAAUGACGGUAACCGGAGAAGAAGCCCCGGCUAACUUCGUGCCAGCAGCCGCGGUAAUACGAAGGGGGCUAGCGUUGUUCGGAUUUACUGGGCGUAAAGCGCACGUAGGCGGACUAUUAAGUCAGGGGUGAAAUCCCGGGGCUCAACCCCGGAACUGCCUUUGAUACUGGUAGUCUUGAGUUCGAGAGAGGUGAGUGGAAUUCCGAGUGUAGAGGUGAAAUUCGUAGAUAUUCGGAGGAACACCAGUGGCGAAGGCGGCUCACUGGCUCGAUACUGACGCUGAGGUGCGAAAGCGUGGGGAGCAAACAGGAUUAGAUACCCCAGUAGCCCCA